UGGGGAAUAUUGGUCCCAUGGGCGAAAGCCUGAUCCAGCCAUGCCGCGUGUGUGAAGAAGGUCUUCGGAUUGUAAAGCACUUUAAGUUGGGAGGAAGGGCAGUAAAUUAAUACUCUGCUGUUUUGACGUUACCGACAGAAUAAGCGGGGGCUAACUCUGGG
RNAcentral lists this ribosomal RNA (161 nucleotides) under Uncultured bacterium HZ_06K. Its description in RNAcentral is "partial 16S ribosomal RNA". It matches the Rfam family "Bacterial small subunit ribosomal RNA", at positions 355 to 507 of the family's 1533-position model. The record is from RNAcentral.